This 344-nucleotide unclassified non-coding RNA is filed under the name soil metagenome. RNAcentral's name for it is "partial contains 5.8S ribosomal RNA, internal transcribed spacer 2, and large subunit ribosomal RNA". The stretch from base 1 to 120 matches the Rfam family "5.8S ribosomal RNA", at positions 35 to 154 of the family's 154-position model. The record is from RNAcentral.
GAUGAAGAACGUAGCGAAAUGCGAUAAGUAAUGUGAAUUGCAGAAUUCAGUGAAUCAUCGAAUCUUUGAACGCACAUUGCGCCCGCCAGUAUUCUGGCGGGCAUGCCUGUUCGAGCGUCAUUUCAACCCUCAAGCCCCCGGGCUUGGUGUUGGGGAUCGGCGUGCCCUCGCGGCGCGCCGUCCCCUAAAUCUAGUGGCGGUCUCGCUGUAGCUUCCUCUGCGUAGUAGCAACACUCGCACUGGAUCGCAGCGCGGCCACGCCGUUAAACCCCCCACUUCUGAAAGUUUGACCUCGGAUCAGGUAGGAAUACCCGCUGAACUUAAGCAUAUCAAUAAGCGGAGGG